AGGUGGAUACUCGGUAGAAGCGUC
RNAcentral lists this non-coding RNA (24 nucleotides) under Arabidopsis thaliana (thale cress). Lineage: Eukaryota; Viridiplantae; Streptophyta; Magnoliopsida; Brassicales; Brassicaceae. The record is from RNAcentral.